GGGGAUUUAGCUCAGCGGUAGAGCGCUUGCCUAGCAAGCAUAAGGCCCUGGGUUCAGUCCCCAGCUCCG
Molecule: transfer RNA, 69 nt
Filed under: Rattus norvegicus (Norway rat)
Lineage: Eukaryota; Metazoa; Chordata; Mammalia; Rodentia; Muridae
Rfam family: tRNA
About the family: Transfer RNA (tRNA) molecules are approximately 80 nucleotides in length.
Source: Rfam by way of RNAcentral